GCGUUCCUACAAGGCCAGUGGGGGAAUCAUUUCCAAACAUUUGGCAUCUUCAACUGCCCUGCCAAGCCACUUUUCUAAUCUGCCUUUCUUACCAGCGUACGACCAGUCCAUGUCCUCGGUGAACUUGCGCUGGUUCCUGUACGUGUAGGCUCCCACUGCGAGACACAAACGACCACGUUGAAAGAAAAGUCCUUCCUUCAAGCGAAAUCUCCACUGUGACAACAUCAUCCGGGCCCAAAGAAGGACGCCGGGACAGACGGACGGACGACACCACAGACAGCGGGACGGAUGGCAGAACGCAAAUGGCCGAUGGGACAGACGCUGGGAAGGCCAACGGAAGAAGCAGCGAGACGGACCAUUGGAUAGACAGGGAGGACGCCGGGAGACAGAUUGACAAUUUCUUGAGCAAAAAA
This is a long non-coding RNA of Syngnathus acus (greater pipefish), 413 nucleotides long. RefSeq lists it as uncharacterized. The transcript has 2 exons. The record is from RefSeq and is a predicted model, not a curated record. NCBI's taxonomy places the organism in Eukaryota, Metazoa, Chordata, Actinopteri, Syngnathiformes, Syngnathidae.